CCUACGGGUGGCAGCAGUGGGGAAUAUUGGACAAUGGGGGGAACCCUGAUCCAGCCAUGCCGCGUGUGUGAAGAAGGCCCUCGGGUUGUAAAGCACUUUCAGUGAGGAAGAACGCCUGGUGGUUAAUACCCAUCAGGAAAGACAUCACUCACAGAAGAAGCACCGGCUAACUCCGUGCCAGCAGCCGCGGUAAUACGGAGGGUGCGAGCGUUAAUCGGAAUUACUGGGCGUAAAGCGCGCGUAGGUGGCUUGAUAAGCCGGUUGUGAAAGCCCCGGGCUCAACCUGGGAACGGCAUCCGGAACUGUCAAGCUAGAGUGCAGGAGAGGAAGGUAGAAUUCCCGGUGUAGCGGUGAAAUGCGUAGAGAUCGGGAGGAAUACCAGUGGCGAAGGCGGCCUUCUGGACUGUCACUGACACUGAGGUGCGAAAGCGUGGGUAGCAAACAGGAUUAGAUACCCCUGUAGUC
Molecule: ribosomal RNA, 465 nt
Filed under: Vreelandella stevensii
Lineage: Bacteria; Pseudomonadati; Pseudomonadota; Gammaproteobacteria; Oceanospirillales; Halomonadaceae
Description: partial 16S ribosomal RNA
Rfam family: Bacterial small subunit ribosomal RNA
Source: RNAcentral